UUCUGCUAAGUGGUGACCGUCAUGAUACUAGGUGUUGUUCAGAAGUAUAUAGGACAAAAAGACACUCCUCAGACCCAGACAACACAGACUUGGAUGAUCCUAACAGGACUCAAGCAACAUGCCUAAAAGCCUAAAGGAUCCUUAGGGCAGGGACAACCUUACCAGUAACUCACCACUGGAUACCUUGGUCAAACUGCUUGUGUUCAAGUUUACCCAGGUGGAAGACUGAGAACAAGAGAAAGGAUAAGGACCUCAAUUAACUUCUGUGUUGGAACUGAGCAAUCAGUCUAUAAAGCAUGAAUAUUUGAAUUUUUUCUAUUUCUUUUGACUCGAAAUAGAACUAAAUGCAAUCUAUUUAA
This is a long non-coding RNA of Pipra filicauda (Wire-tailed manakin), 359 nucleotides long. RefSeq lists it as uncharacterized. NCBI's taxonomy places the organism in Eukaryota, Metazoa, Chordata, Aves, Passeriformes, Pipridae. The record is from RefSeq and is a predicted model, not a curated record. The transcript has 2 exons.